Molecule: long non-coding RNA, 860 nt
Organism: Clupea harengus (Atlantic herring)
Lineage: Eukaryota; Metazoa; Chordata; Actinopteri; Clupeiformes; Clupeidae
Source: Ensembl
CCGCCCCUGGUGUGUGGGAUGGUGUCACGUCAGCGCUGAACCCAGCCUGUGAUAAACGAAAUUUGGUUUCACACUCCCCUAGUUGUGAGACGGUUGGGCUGCACGAUGGAGUGUCUAAAAACAGUAAAAAGUUUGGCCUUUGCGUUGUAUGGGUACUACAAGGCGGUGAAGGCCAACCAGAAGCGCUGUGGUCGGCUGGUAGAGAGAGUCAAGGUCAUAGAGGGGUUUGUGGAUGCCGUGAUGGAUACGAAUCUGGACAACCCCCUUGUAAGAAGUGCCCUGACGAAACUCAAGGAGAUCCUGACUACUGCAGUGGAGCUAGUGGAGGAACAUGGCAAACAAGACUGGUUGCUGCAGGCGAUGAAAGCCAACGGCGUGAAGAGUCAGUUUGAUGACCUGAACGACCGGCUGAGUGAAGUGUCGGGCCAGCUGUCUCUCUCCCUGCAGCUGGAGCAGCUGAAGCAGCUGGAGAAGCAACGUGAAGCGUUUGAAGCCAAGCGGAGGGAGGAAGAGGACCAGCGUGACGCAGCAGACGACCGGCUGGAGUGGCAAAGAGUACUAGAGGGGAUGAAUAUCAUCCAAAGAGGCGUGAACGACCUACAAAGUGGCCAGAACAACCUACAAAGUGGCCAGAUCAACCUACAAUGUGGCCAGAUCGACCUAAAAAGUGGCCAGAUCGAACUACAAAAUAGCGUGGACUACCUUACAAACAUCAUUCAGGGUAAGUGUCUAACCUACAGUGUUGCCUGCACUAGAGAUGUUAAAUGAAACCGUGCACAAUAUCCAGAGAGAUGUGAACGACCUACAAAGUGGCGUUUCUGACAUUAAAAACUUAAUAUAAUCAAAACAGGGUAAGUGUA